RNAcentral lists this long non-coding RNA (279 nucleotides) under Polistes fuscatus (common paper wasp). Its description in RNAcentral is "uncharacterized LOC122519873". Lineage: Eukaryota; Metazoa; Arthropoda; Insecta; Hymenoptera; Vespidae. The record is from RNAcentral.
CCCAUUCGCUACCUAUUCGUUAGUGUCAGAUUUUCUUUUUAUUUUCUUAACGCGGUUACUCUCUUACGUAGCGAAGAGAAUAUUUCGCGGAUCGGUCAAUAAUAAAACCUAGCGUAGAAUUAACUUUUUGGCAUGAAUACUCGAAUAAAGUAACCGAUCGUUCUUUAUUUGAUUAGUUUGUUAAAACCGUAUCGUGUACUGCUGCCACCCUUAUAUUAGUCCCGAUUGGACGCGCCCAAUAAUUACGAUCUAUACGUGAAAUCUUACCGGUCGUAAAAA